This 104-nucleotide small nuclear RNA is filed under the name Theropithecus gelada (gelada). The record is from RNAcentral. Lineage: Eukaryota; Metazoa; Chordata; Mammalia; Primates; Cercopithecidae.
GUGCUGGCUUCAGCAGCACAUACACUAAAAUUGGAAUGAUACAGAAAUUAUCAUGGCCCCUGUACAGGGAUGACAUGCAAAUUCGUGAAGUUUUGUGUGUGUGU